Molecule: RNase P RNA, 424 nt
Filed under: Thermotogota bacterium
Lineage: Bacteria; Thermotogati; Thermotogota
Description: Thermotogae bacterium (hydrothermal vent metagenome) RNase P RNA component class A
Rfam family: Bacterial RNase P class A
About the family: Ribonuclease P (RNase P) is a ubiquitous endoribonuclease, found in archaea, bacteria and eukarya as well as chloroplasts and mitochondria. Its best characterised activity is the generation of mature 5'-ends of tRNAs by cleaving the 5'-leader elements of precursor-tRNAs. Cellular RNase Ps are ribonucleoproteins.
Source: RNAcentral
CUCGGAUGGCCGGUGGUCGCCUCCACGGAUGUGGGGGAGGAAAGUCCGGGCUCCAAAGGGCAGGGUGCCGGGUAAUACCCGGGGUGGGGUUUAGGCCCCACACGGCAGGGCCACAGAAACAAGACCGCCCCGCCUCACAGGCGGGGUAAGGGUGAAAGGGUGGGGUAAGAGCCCACCGGCUCCGCAGUAAUGCGGGGUGAGGGGGUGAAAGCCCCCCGGCCGCCUCGCCCAUCGGCGGGGUGGCUCUGGCGACCGCCCCCCGGAGCAAGGCCGAGCAGACCCGAAUCCGGCGCCUCGGUGCCGGAGGGGUGUGGCCCGCACCCCUUGAGGGUCGGGUAGGCCGCGCCGGACUCCGUCGGGCAACCGGCGGAGCCAGAUAGAUGACCACCCAGUACAGAACCCGGCUUAUGGCCAUCCGAGGGUU